This 460-nucleotide ribosomal RNA is filed under the name uncultured bacterium. Its description in RNAcentral is "bacterial SSU rRNA". It matches the Rfam family "Bacterial small subunit ribosomal RNA", at positions 337 to 794 of the family's 1533-position model. The record is from RNAcentral.
UCCUACGGGGGGCAGCAGUAAGGAAUAUUGGUCAAUGGACGCAAGUCUGAACCAGCCAUGCCGCGUGAAGGAUUAAGGUCCUCUGGAUUGUAAACUUCUUUUAUUUGGGACGAAAAAGGGUCUUUCUAGAUCAACUGACGGUACCAGAUGAAUAAGCACCGGCUAACUCCGUGCCAGCAGCCGCGGUAAUACGGAGGGUGCAAGCGUUAUCCGGAUUCACUGGGUUUAAAGGGUGCGUAGGCGGGUAGGUAAGUCAGUGGUGAAAUCCUGGAGCUCAACUCCAGAACUGCCAUUGAUACUAUUUAUCUUGAAUAUUGUGGAGGUAAGCGGAAUAUGUCAUGUAGCGGUGAAAUGCUUAGAUAUGACAUAGAACACCUAUUGCGAAGGCAGCUUACUACGCAUAUAUUGACGCUGAGGCACGAAAGCGUGGGGAUCAAACAGGAUUAGAUACCCUGGUAGG